RNAcentral lists this long non-coding RNA (294 nucleotides) under Lathyrus oleraceus (garden pea). RNAcentral's name for it is "Pisum sativum (pea) long non-coding RNA (PSAT_LNC037694)". The record is from RNAcentral. Lineage: Eukaryota; Viridiplantae; Streptophyta; Magnoliopsida; Fabales; Fabaceae.
UCGUUGAAACAAGAGGAGAAGGUGAUUCAACCGCACGAGGAGCGAUUCAAGAUUGUUACUCCAAGCUCCACCGAGGUUAGAAAGCAAAAGCUGAGGCCGACAAAGGAUGAGAAAGAGAGAAGGUGUGAAUAGACUAUCAAGAUGCGAGUAGAGCUAAUCAGAAAGAUGGAUUCCCGGUACAUCACAAUGAGGUAUUGGUUGAUCAUAUGGCUCAGGUCUCAGUGUUUAUCUUCAUGGAUGGCUUCUUGGCCAAGACCAGAUUGAAUUGUUGCCAGAUGAUAUGAAGUAAACCAG